GAUGAACGCUAGCGGCAUGCCUAAUACAUGCAAGUCGAACGAGAUACAACUUUGUAUCUAGUGGCGAACGGGUGAGUAACACGUAUUUGAUCUACCCCCAAGUGGGGAAUAACAAUUGGAAACGAUUGAUAAUACCGCAUAUGACAUAAAUUCGUUUUUAUGUUGAAAGGAGCGUCAGCUUCGCUUGUGGAUGAGAAUGCGGCGUAUUAGUUAGUUGGUGGGGUAAUUGCCCACCAAGUCAACGAUGCUUAGCCGACCUGAGAGGGUGAUCGGCCACACUGGAACUGAGACACGGUCCAGACUCCUACGGGAGGCAGCAGUAGGGAAUUUUUCGACAAU
Molecule: ribosomal RNA, 339 nt
Filed under: uncultured bacterium
Lineage: Bacteria
Description: bacterial SSU rRNA
Rfam family: Bacterial small subunit ribosomal RNA
Source: RNAcentral